Molecule: ribosomal RNA, 445 nt
Filed under: uncultured bacterium
Lineage: Bacteria
Description: partial 16S ribosomal RNA
Rfam family: Bacterial small subunit ribosomal RNA
Source: RNAcentral
GUGAGGAAUAUUGGUCAAUGGGCGGGAGCCUGAACCAGCCAAGUCGCGUGAAGGAAGAAGGAUCUAUGGUUCGUAAACUUCUUUUGCAGGGGAAUAAAGUGCAGGACGUGUCCUGUUUUGUAUGUACCCUGAGAAUAAGGAUCGGCUAACUCCGUGCCAGCAGCCGCGGUAAUACGGAGGAUCCGAGCGUUAUCCGGAUUUAUUGGGUUUAAAGGGUGCGUAGGUGGUUUGAUAAGUCAGCGGUGAAAGUUUGCAGCUUAACUGUAAAAAUGCCGUUGAAACUGUCGGACUUGAGUGUAAAUGAGGUAGGCGGAAUGCGUGGUGUAGCGGUGAAAUGCAUAGAUAUCACGCAGAACUCCGAUUGCGAAGGCAGCUUACUAAGUUAUAACAGACACUGAAGCACGAAAGCGUGGGUAUCAAACAGGAUUAGAAACCCUAGUAGUCC